GAUGAAGAACGUAGCGAAAUGCGAUACUUGGUGUGAAUUGCAGAAUCCCGUGAACCAUCGAGUCUUUGAACGCAAGUUGCGCCUCAAGCCAUUAGGUUGAGGGCACGUCUGCCUGGGCGUCACAUAUCGUUGCCUGAUGCCAGUUUCCUCGUGAUGGGUGACUGUGCAGGGCGAAUGAUGGCUUCCCGUGAGCAUUGUUGCCUCAUGGUUGGUUGAAAAUUGAGUCCUUGGUAGGGAGCGCCGUGAUAGAUGGUGGUUGAGUGACGAACGAGACCCAAUCAUGUGAGACCCCUACCGAAUUUGGCCUUCAUGACCCACAUGCGUCUUUGGAACGCUCAUGACGAGACCUCAGGUCAGGCGGGGAUACCCGCUGAGUUUAAGCAUAUCAAUAAGCGGAGGA
This 400-nucleotide unclassified non-coding RNA is filed under the name soil metagenome. RNAcentral's name for it is "partial contains 5.8S ribosomal RNA, internal transcribed spacer 2, and large subunit ribosomal RNA". The stretch from base 1 to 122 matches the Rfam family "5.8S ribosomal RNA", at positions 35 to 154 of the family's 154-position model. The record is from RNAcentral.